This 813-nucleotide ribosomal RNA is filed under the name Triticum aestivum (bread wheat). RNAcentral's name for it is "partial small subunit ribosomal RNA". The record is from RNAcentral. Lineage: Eukaryota; Viridiplantae; Streptophyta; Magnoliopsida; Poales; Poaceae.
AUGGCCCUCCUCGCCGCCGCUCGCCGCGCCUCCGCCGUGAUCCGUCCUAGGGUCGCGGCUGCGACCUUCUCCUCGACAAAGCGGAGCUCCUCCUCCUUCUCCGUCUGUGCCCUCCGCGCCAAGGUGGACUCCUGCCGCGACGAGGCCACCGUGCACCGCACCAACGCUACCCCCCUCCGCGCCCACGCCGAAUCUGUCAACGCCACCAUCCACGACUGGGAGGUCAUCGACGUCAUCGACUCCGUGAUGCGGUCCCGCGACAGUGGCCUGGUUGACGGGAUUCCUAGUGACUUCCCAUUCGAAAUCCUCAAAGAGGAGGGGCUUAAAGACAUAACUCUUACAAGAAGUUUGAAGGGUGAGCAGAUUGAGGUCGUGGUUUCCAUGCUCAAACCAGACGGGGACGAGGAGGAAUCCUCCGAUUCUAGGUAUACAUCGGAUGAAGACGAAGGGGACAGUAGCAUGCCUCUCAUGGUCACGGUUUCCAAGGCCGAUGGAUCAAACCUUAAAUUCACCUGCACUGCCUAUCCUGACAAUGGCAACAUCUUCAUCGAUACCUUGUCCGUGAGACUCCCACCAUCAGGGGCCAUGGGACAUGAGGAAGAUGAUCGUGGUUUCAGUGAGCUGGAUGAGACCCUGCAGGAGGCACGCAGUGAGCUGGAUGACAACCUACAGGAGACAUUCCGCAAGUAUCUGGAGCUGCGUGGGGUCACUCCCAUGAACAUGAAGUUGUUGCACCAGUACUUGAUCAGCAAGGACAUACUCUGCAAUCAACUAUGGCUGACCAAGCUGCGGGAUUUCGUCAAGAAAGAUUGA